UACGGAGGGUCCAAGCGUUAUCCGGAUUCAUUGGGUUUAAAGGGUGCGCAGGCGGACCGAUAAGUCAGUGGUGAAAUCCUACAGCUCAACUGUAGAACUGCCAUUGAUACUGUCGAUCUUGAGUAUAGUUGAAGUGGGCGGAAUGUAUCAUGUAGCGGUGAAAUGCAUAGAUAUGAUACAGAACUCCGAUAGCGAAGGCAGCUCACUAACCUAUAACUGACGCUCAGGCACGAAAGCGUGGGGAGCAAACAGG
Molecule: ribosomal RNA, 253 nt
Filed under: uncultured bacterium
Lineage: Bacteria
Description: partial 16S ribosomal RNA
Rfam family: Bacterial small subunit ribosomal RNA
Source: RNAcentral